CCUGAAUCGAAUGCAAGGGCAUGCGGCGGCUGCUCGAAGCCCCGACGAAUCCCUGAUGGGAGAUGCUGGAAUUGAGUUCUUGCUGGAUGCCGUCGACCUGUCCCCCCUCUCCCUCUGGGAGGAGUUCGCUGACAGUCUUGUGAAUCCAGAUCCGUCCCUCUGGCAUUGUUAACGCCAGAUAAAGACAACCAUGCCGUGCCGGCGGACUCGAAUGCUGCCUCUGGAUGCGGGCAGCAAGUUGGCGGCGCCGUGCGGGAGAGGUCGAACAGCGGCGUCGGGAGGCAUCUCCGACUGCGUCCACGCAGUCAGCUGACAGGGUCAACCCGGAGCCGCCUGGUUGGACGAAAAGGUAUUUCGCGUAAUUCCAUUGCCUGUGUAAUAACUGUAUAUCUCCGAAAAUGAGUGCAUGUUAAGGGGGAGUGGUACGACUAUUUUAGGUUAGAGGAAGGUUGAAGAGAGAAUAGCUAAAAUAGCCAGUCGGGUAGGCAAGUGCGGGUGGCUGUGGUCAAAGUGAAUAUGUCUUGUUUCGGAUCUCCUCAGCCAUGACUAUUUUUAUUUUGGGCGACUGCAACCUGACGAUAUGAUUUGGUUAACUGGACGCUGAUACUUGGUACUGAUGAUUAAUUGUUAAAUGUGCUUAGACGUCAAAUAUGUCCGUAAUUGUUUACUGCAGCUGGAAAAUUAUGUAAAGAAAUGGUUCGCCUAAAAAAAGUCUGGUUACAUCUCAGUAGUGGGCUACCAGACAGGACGCCAGGUCCUUGUAGGAUAAGUGCACUAGAUCAGUCAAUUCGCAAAUAUGGAAAUGUAAUUAGACCAGAACUCAGGCCAAGUUUUGAUUCACUGGGCGGGGCAUAUGGCUUCUACAAAUCCUGGGAGAUCGGAUUCAGAAUUCGGUACGACAAAAGCUUUACUUUAGAUGUUUCCAUCGGUGGCGGAAUCAUUGCAAGUGUGACGGCGGGGUAACUGACAGCACAGCGGUGUCGCCGGAGCAAGAGUAGAGGUUCAGUUCCGGACACUUUGAACUUGGGGUUGCAGCGAGCGCUUGGAGCACGAAUUUGAUGCUGGAGCAAGAAGGCCAUGGCGUGCACGAGGGAGGUGAUUCAGUGUGUGUGUGCCACUGGCGCGCUGGCCGACUUCCAUGGUGUUGACUAUGAUGUGGACAAAUGGAUCUCGCGUGAUCUAUGGUGCCGAAGAGGUUGAUUCCGGUGGAGAAGAGGUGAGCAGCAGGGAAGCGAAACGACGCCGUACACAGGCUUGUUUUGCGACGUGAGCAUAUCAGCAGAGGAAAGAACUGUGUUUCCACUGCUCCCCUUGUCCAUGAUGUUCAACAGAUUGUUGUAUUGUGCCUACAG
Molecule: long non-coding RNA, 1352 nt
Organism: Triticum dicoccoides
Lineage: Eukaryota; Viridiplantae; Streptophyta; Magnoliopsida; Poales; Poaceae
Exons: 4
Source: RefSeq, a predicted model, not a curated record